GGUAACACCGGGUGGUCAUCCGUUCAAGUGGACACCAUACUCAUUACCUCGGAAAGUAUUAACUUUUUCCGGAAUCCGUUUUCUAAAACAUUCAAGAAACAAGCUGCACUACAAUUUUGUAUUCACGUUAUUUUUCGUUACCCUUAUUUUCGGGGAUGAAACCACUACCUACUUUUGAUUUUCAAAUGGCAACCUAUAUUAAAAGUUACACAAACAGAUGGAGUA
Non-coding RNA from Cinara cedri, 225 nucleotides. NCBI's taxonomy places the organism in Eukaryota, Metazoa, Arthropoda, Insecta, Hemiptera, Aphididae. The record is from the annotation of a GenBank genome assembly.